This 860-nucleotide ribosomal RNA is filed under the name uncultured Neocallimastigales. Its description in RNAcentral is "partial large subunit ribosomal RNA". It matches the Rfam family "Eukaryotic large subunit ribosomal RNA", at positions 24 to 694 of the family's 3401-position model. The record is from RNAcentral. Lineage: Eukaryota; Fungi; Neocallimastigomycota; Neocallimastigomycetes; Neocallimastigales.
GUAGUCUCGCACAGAUGCAUAUCAAUAAGCGGAGGAAAAGAAACUAACAAGGAUUCCCCUAGUAACGGCGAGUGAAGCGGGAAGAGCUCAAAUUUGAAAUCUUAAAGGGUUUCCCUUUACGAAUUGUAGUUUAAAGAAGUGUUUUCUGUUGAGGUUUUGGUAAAAGUUCUUUGGAAUAGGACAUCAUAGAGGGUGAGAAUCCCGUAUUUGACCUUUACUUUCAACUUUGUGAUACACUUUCAAAGAGUCGGAUUGUUUGGGAAUGCAGUCCAAAAUGGGUGGUAAAUUUCAUCUAAAGCUAAAUAUUGGCGAGAGACCGAUAGCGAACAAGUACCGUGAGGGAAAGAUGAAAAGAACUUUGAAAAGAGAGUUAAACAGUACGUGAAAUUGUCAAAAGGGAAGCGUUUGACACCAGUGUUGUUUUUCUGAAAAUCAAUUAAAGAACUGUUUAUGCUAAGUUGUUUAGACUUUAUCAGCUAAUCUGCUUAGUUUUGAGCUUUUCUUUAAUGCACUUUUCAGUUAACAAGUCAACAUCAAUUUCUUUUGCUGUAAAAAAGCUUGAGGAAGGUGGCUUGAGAUUCGUCUUAAGUGUUUAUAGCCUCUUGCCUAUGCAGUCGGAGAGAUUGAGGUCUGCAGCGUAGAUCCUUCGGGGCUAAAUGCAUUUGUGCUAGGUUAUAGCAUUUUAUAGACAACUUGUUGACUAUGAUUUGUCUUGUAGCUUACUCGCUUAUGUUAUUUUACCUACGCUUAGGAUGUUGACGCGCGUGUGUGCGUGAGUCUAUACAUGACUCUGUGCAUAUCAAUAAGCGGAGGAAAAGGAGUAUACCUACGCUUAGGAUGUUGACGCGCGUGUGUGCGUG